Molecule: ribosomal RNA, 253 nt
Filed under: uncultured bacterium
Lineage: Bacteria
Description: partial 16S ribosomal RNA
Rfam family: Bacterial small subunit ribosomal RNA
Source: RNAcentral
UACGUAGGGUGCAAGCGUUGCCCGGAUUUAUUGGGCGUAAAGGGCGCGCAGGCGGCCGAGCACGUCCGUUGUGAAAUCGCCUGGCUCAACUGGGCGGGGUCAGCGGAUACGGCUAGGCUGGAGCAAGCUAGGGGGCAAUGGAAUUCCCGGUGUAGUGGUGGAAUGCGUAGAUAUCGGGAGGAACACCAGUGGCGAAGGCGGUUGCCUGGAGCUUUGCUGACGCUGAGGCGCGAAGGCCAGGGGAGCAAACGGG